This 645-nucleotide non-coding RNA is filed under the name Pongo abelii (Sumatran orangutan). Lineage: Eukaryota; Metazoa; Chordata; Mammalia; Primates; Hominidae. The record is from RNAcentral.
AGAAUACUACAAGAUAAAGUGAAGAAGAGAUUGCAGAACUAACAACAGCGCUGGGGCCACAGAGAUGGGGUUUCACUAUGUUGCCCAGGUUGGUCUGGAACUCCAGGAUUCACACAAUCUUCUAGCCUCGGCCACCCAAGGUGCUGGGAUUACAGGCGUGAGCCACCGUGCCUGGUCGAAUGAGGUUUUUGGCAUUGCGCUUGCACUGAAUAAAAGCAAGCAGCUCCAGCUUCUCGGGGCUGCUGUUUGGCCACCAGAGCCAGGCAGUCACCUAGCUGCUCUUAUAGUGCAUACCUGUGUCUGAAUACUCAUUUCAUUCAUCUGCCAGCAUCUGCAGGACAGACCCGGCAGGUGGUGCCCCGUGUGAGGAAUGCUGCAACAGAUUGUGACGAAACCCUCGAGAAUGAAAGUGAAGUGACUGCGCACCCUGCCGUUACCAGGUAAAGGCCCACAGAGGAGACAAAUAUUUUCCCUGAGCCCUCUCUCCCAAUGUAUUGGAAAAAAUACAAGGGAUACACUACUGUUAUCCUGUCUUAGGCAAGUGGAAUUAGAAGGGAGCUCUUAACUUGCCCGGUGAUGCAAGAUCAACAAGGCAAUCAGUAAGAAAUGUACAAACAUUAAGAAGAGCCUAUUCAGAAAAGACAG